CAAAAACAUAGCUAGAUGUCACUAUAUUUAGUACCUCCUGCUCAAUGAUAUAUUUUAAUAGCCGCAGUACCUUGACUGUGCAAAGGUAGCAUAAUCAAUUGGCUUAUAAUUGAAGUCUAGAAUGAAAGGAUAUACGGGUAAUUACUGUAUCGGAUAUUUAUUACAAAAUUGGUUUUCAAGUGCAAAUACUUGCAAAUAAUUGUUAGACGAGAAGACCCUAGAAAUUUGUACUAAUGUUUCGUUGGGGCAACGUGGUAGGAAUAACCUACAAUAAAAGACAAGUAAAAAAUUUGAGAGAAAAAAUUACUCUAGGGAUAACAGCAUAAUUUAUAAAAGUUUGUGACCUCGAUGUUGGAUUUGGGAAUUAUAGUUCARAARACUUUUAAUACUGCUCUGUUCGAGCAUAGCAC
Molecule: ribosomal RNA, 410 nt
Filed under: Rhagada dringi
Lineage: Eukaryota; Metazoa; Mollusca; Gastropoda; Stylommatophora; Camaenidae
Description: partial 16S ribosomal RNA
Rfam family: Archaeal large subunit ribosomal RNA
Source: RNAcentral